This 497-nucleotide ribosomal RNA is filed under the name uncultured bacterium. RNAcentral's name for it is "partial 16S ribosomal RNA". It matches the Rfam family "Bacterial small subunit ribosomal RNA", at positions 28 to 507 of the family's 1533-position model. The record is from RNAcentral.
GAUGAACGCUGGCGGCGUGCCUAAUACAUGCAAGUCGAGCGAACAGAUGAGGAGCUUGCUCCUCUGACGUUAGCGGCGGACGGGUGAGUAACACGUGGAUAACCUACCUAUAAGACUGGGAUAACUUCGGGAAACCGGAGCUAAUACCGGAUAAUAUAUUGAACCGCAUGGUUCAAUAGUGAAAGACGGUUUUGCUGUCACUUAUAGAUGGAUCCGCGCCGCAUUAGCUAGUUGGUAAGGUAACGGCUUACCAAGGCAACGAUGCGUAGCCGACCUGAGAGGGUGAUCGGCCACACUGGAACUGAGACACGGUCCAGACUCCUACGGGAGGCAGCAGUAGGGAAUCUUCCGCAAUGGGCGAAAGCCUGGCGGAGCAACGCCGCGUGAGUGAUGAAGGUCUUCGGAUCGUAAAACUCUGUUAUUGGGGAAGAACAAAUGUGUAAGUAACUAUGCACGUCUUGACGGUACCUAAUCAGAAAGCCACGGCUAACUACGUG